Molecule: long non-coding RNA, 1127 nt
Organism: Saccostrea cuccullata (small rock oyster)
Lineage: Eukaryota; Metazoa; Mollusca; Bivalvia; Ostreida; Ostreidae
Exons: 4
Source: RefSeq, a predicted model, not a curated record
CAAAAGUGAGGAGUCCCUAGCUGUCAUCUUCACAGAUGGACCAGUUGCAGAUUCCACAAGCACCAAAAUGUCAAUAUCAAGAAAAAUUGAUAUCAGAGCACAACUACUCAGCAUCCUGCACAUUUAACUGUACUCAAGAAAUGCAGCGCCUCUCAACAGAAAUACAACUGGAAAAGGAAUUGCUUGCCCUAAAAAUAGAGUCUAGUAAAAGGAAGCCAAUAUCAAUCCACGAUAUUAAAUACAACGAAGAGAAGUCACCAAUAUAUCCAAAUAUCAUCACCGGCCCAGACGUCAUUCACUCCUUUGAAUUGUGCUGGUAGCAGUAAGGUGUCAUCAUUUGAGAUGGUCACAGUAUCCAAUGCACUGAAGUCACAGGACUCAAAUUUCAUACAUGUUCACAGGGUCUCUGCCAAAAUCUUUUGAGGAUUUUUCCUCUGCUAGAGCAUCCAUGGAUGCAAAUGAAACAACCCAGGACAUCCCAACACAUAUGGAUAAUCAGGCCAUGGCCUACAGUAUGUACAAAAGUUGCCAUACUUUUAAAGCAGUAACUUGCGUGCCUCCAAAUGGUGCACUUACAUUUUGCUCCAUGCUGUACCCAGGUUCUACUUCUGAUGUAGCUAUUGUACGUCACUGCCAAGUUUUACGAAAGUUCAAAGCUGGAGACCUUAUUUUGGUGGUCAAAGGUUUCACCAUUCAUGACCAGUUGCCCCAGGGUGUCUGCUUAAUUAUAAAAGCUCUUUUAUCGACACGAGGCCAGUUUACCAUACAAGAAGCAGCACUGUUACAAGAUUGCUAAAGCACUUAUUCAUGUGGAAAGAGCCAACGAGAGGAUAAAGAAUUACGAGAUUCUCCGUCACAUACCAUCUACUUACAGACCAAUCUCAACAAAAAUAUUUCAACUCUGUUCUUGUCUUGUAAACUUGCAAGCUCCACUUUUGAAAGAAAUUACUUAAAGAUACAUGUACUUAUUAUAAAUUUGCAUUGGCGUGUGACAGUAUACACUAAACAGUGAAGAUAUUCAUACCAAAGUGCAAGGGAUAAGCAAAUUUUGAUUUGUUAUCAAUGUCAAUGGUUAUAUUUGUUAACUUUGUAGUAUGUUGUAAUACAUGUACUUCAGAAAAUGAAAA